This is a small nuclear RNA of Dipodomys spectabilis (banner-tailed kangaroo rat), 107 nucleotides long. The record is from RefSeq and is a predicted model, not a curated record. NCBI's taxonomy places the organism in Eukaryota, Metazoa, Chordata, Mammalia, Rodentia, Heteromyidae.
GUGUUUGCUUCGGCAGCACAUAUACUAAAAUUAGAAUGAUACAGUAAAGAUUAGCAUGGCGCCUGCACAAGGGUGACACGCAAAUUCUUGACACGUUCCAUAUAUUU